Molecule: ribosomal RNA, 1372 nt
Filed under: uncultured bacterium
Lineage: Bacteria
Description: bacterial SSU rRNA
Rfam family: Bacterial small subunit ribosomal RNA
Source: RNAcentral
GAUGAACGCUGGCGGCGUGCCUAAUACAUGCAAGUCGAGCGAACGGACGAGAAGCUUGCUUCUCUGAUGUUAGCGGCGGACGGGUGAGUAACACGUGGAUAACCUACCUAUAAGACUGGGAUAACUUCGGGAAACCGGAGCUAAUACCGGAUAAUAUUUUGAACCGCAUGGUUCAAAAGUGAAAGACGGUCUUGCUGUCACUUAUAGAUGGAUCCGCGCUGCAUUAGCUAGUUGGUAAGGUAACGGCUUACCAAGGCAACGAUGCAUAGCCGACCUGAGAGGGUGAUCGGCCACACUGGAACUGAGACACGGUCCAGACUCCUACGGGAGGCAGCAGUAGGGAAUCUUCCGCAAUGGGCGAAAGCCUGACGGAGCAACGCCGCGUGAGUGAUGAAGGUCUUCGGAUCGUAAAACUCUGUUAUUAGGGAAGAACAUAUGUGUAAGUAACUGUGCACAUCUUGACGGUACCUAAUCAGAAAGCCACGGCUAACUACGUGCCAGCAGCCGCGGUAAUACGUAGGUGGCAAGCGUUAUCCGGAAUUAUUGGGCGUAAAGCGCGCGUAGGCGGUUUUUUAAGUCUGAUGUGAAAGCCCACGGCUCAACCGUGGAGGGUCAUUGGAAACUGGAAAACUUGAGUGCAGAAGAGGAAAGUGGAAUUCCAUGUGUAGCGGUGAAAUGCGCAGAGAUAUGGAGGAACACCAGUGGCGAAGGCGACUUUCUGGUCUGUAACUGACGCUGAUGUGCGAAAGCGUGGGGAUCAAACAGGAUUAGAUACCCUGGUAGCCCACGCCGUAAACGAUGAGUGCUAAGUGUUAGGGGGUUUCCGCCCCUUAGUGCUGCAGCUAACGCAUUAAGCACUCCGCCUGGGGAGUACGACCGCAAGGUUGAGACUCAAAGGAAUUGACGGGGACCCGCACAAGCGGUGGAGCAUGUGGUUUAAUUCGAAGCAACGCGAAGAACCUUACCAAAUCUUGACAUCCUUUGACAACUCUAGAGAUAGAGCCUUCCCCUUCGGGGGACAAAGUGACAGGUGGUGCAUGGUUGUCGUCAGCUCGUGUCGUGAGAUGUUGGGUUAAGUCCCGCAACGAGCGCAACCCUUAAGCUUAGUUGCCAUCAUUAAGUUGGGCACUCUAAGUUGACUGCCGGUGACAAACCGGAGGAAGGUGGGGAUGACGUCAAAUCAUCAUGCCCCUUAUGAUUUGGGCUACACACGUGCUACAAUGGACAAUACAAAGGGCAGCGAAACCGCGAGGUCAAGCAAAUCCCAUAAAGUUGUUCUCAGUUCGGAUUGUAGUCUGCAACUCGACUACAUGAAGCUGGAAUCGCUAGUAAUCGUAGAUCAGCAUGCUACGGUGAAUACGUUCCCGGGUCU